Camelus ferus (Wild Bactrian camel) is the source of this 72-nucleotide transfer RNA. It matches the Rfam family "tRNA". Rfam says of the family: Transfer RNA (tRNA) molecules are approximately 80 nucleotides in length. Their secondary structure includes four short double-helical elements and three loops (D, anti-codon, and T loops). Further hydrogen bonds mediate the characteristic L-shaped molecular structure. tRNAs have two regions of fundamental functional importance: the anti-codon, which is responsible for specific mRNA codon recognition, and the 3' end, to which the tRNAs corresponding amino acid is attached (by aminoacyl-tRNA synthetases). tRNAs cope with the degeneracy of the genetic code in two manners: having more than one tRNA (with a specific anti-codon) for a particular amino acid; and 'wobble' base-pairing, i.e. permitting non-standard base-pairing at the 3rd anti-codon position. The record is from Rfam. NCBI's taxonomy places the organism in Eukaryota, Metazoa, Chordata, Mammalia, Artiodactyla, Camelidae.
GAGGGUAUAGCUUAGUGGCAGAGCGAAUGCCUAGCAUGCAUGAGGUCCUGGGUUCAAUCCCCAGUACUUCCA